Long non-coding RNA from Bombus huntii, 2190 nucleotides. RefSeq lists it as uncharacterized. The record is from RefSeq and is a predicted model, not a curated record. NCBI's taxonomy places the organism in Eukaryota, Metazoa, Arthropoda, Insecta, Hymenoptera, Apidae. The transcript has 3 exons.
CUGGCGGCCGUCUAUGUCGCAGUAAUGCCACGCUUGGCAUCUUGUUUCCACGUCCGCGAAGAAGCCUGGGUAUGGCUGGUCGUCGCAGUAGAAAUUCGUGUAGGGAACUUUGCCAAGCACUGGAUAAUCCGUGCCUGCUCGACCUAGAGAAGAAUAGAUGGUUCAUUUUGUUAUUGGGAACGGCAAGAAAGGAAGUGCAAGAGAACUGGUGAGAAGAUGGUUGAAAAAUUUCUGGACUUCAUUCGCCUAUAUAUAUAACAUGGACAUAAUUAAACAUAUGACAUAAUUCAGUUUCAAUUUGAUGUGACAAUACAAUCAGAUCAUGCGAUCUUCGGGUUUCUUCGGGUUUCAGUCAGGACAGACUUGAAACUGUUUCAAGCUCGAACCAACGAACUGCAACGUUCACGAAACUUCGAAACGAAAUCUGAAACACAACUCUUCCUCCUUUACUAUUUUAAAAGUCGCACACUGCAAAACUGCAGUAACAAUCAUCUUCAUCUUCAAGGACGAUUCCUAAAAUCCACCCGUCCAAACAUUAUUCUUCGGUUCAAGGUGAUUAUCCUGCGAAGGCGGUAAACGACGAACGUCUACCGUGUUUUAUCCGAAAAUCUCAUUAACCGACAUAACAAGAUACAGAACGAUUCCGAGGGACGAUAGCUAGCGAAUAGAAGGAGGAAACAGAGAGAAGAGGAUCUUUCCCCUCGAACCGAUCGCGGAAAUCACGAGACGGCGAGCGGAUCGAGCAAAGCUCUCUCUGCGAGAGGCCUGCGCUUUCGAUUGUAUCCUCGAUUAAUUGGUGGAAAUGCCGCGAGGUCGAGAUGCACCGCGCGUGUUCGGCCCAGCUGACACGUGUAUUACCUGUACAAAGCAGCCACCUGUAUUACCUGCACAAAGCAGUCACCUCGCCAGGUAUCGACGUGUGCACGUCGACGGCAGCCAAAUCCCCGAUCUGCCGACGCGUCUACUGCUUAACGAUGCAUGCAACAUGCUUCCCCCGACCUGUUUACACCAUGGCGAGUAGAGAUCCCCCACCGUUUAAUCCAUCGGAUUAUCGUGGAUCUGUUUGACCAUCCUCGAAGAUGAUUCUGUUUGCUAGGAUCCUGGGGUGGAGGAGGUAUUGUUACAGAUAUCGCGGAAUUGCGGUGAAUUUAGGGGCGAAAGAAGAAACGAAAUUGUUGGAAAGUUUGGAAGUGACGUUGUAUAAUUUUAGAUAAUUAACAUUUCGAGAGUAUACUAAACUGAUGGAGAAUCCAGGGUGGAGGAUUUGAGAAGUAAUUGCCUCUUUGUUAGGAUUUAAUAAGGAGAAGAUUUUUCAGAGUAUUAUGAAGAUUCUCGGCUUGUGUUAUAAUAACUUUAAGCUCCCUUGAUAGUAGUAUAUUAACGUGCAAGGUUAGCGCUUUGAAGAUGAUAGUAUACCUCGUAAUGAUAGUAGUAAAUUCAUAAAGUUAAUUAAUAGAGGUAUUCAGGCUUCGACAACUGGGAUUUUCGCUUGUUUCCUUAAAGUAUUUAGUCUUUUACAUUAGAGCCUGGAAUUUUAAGAAACUUGAAUUUCAAAUCGAAUAAUAAAAAUUCCAUUAUUUAUUUUUCAACGAUCAAUAGAAUAGAAUAUUUAGUUGCUUAUGUAGUAACAAAUUUCUAUGUCGAAUUUCUACGAAUUUACGAUUUCGAUUGUGCUUUCGGGCCUUUAUUUGCUCAUAUUCGUGGCAAUUCGAUUAUUCUGUCACGCGAUACGUAUUUGAUCACAACCUUGUUAUAUCAUGGUCCGUAUAUUCCACGCGUUAUUUAUAUAAUAAUAAUGGAGAUAGCUAUUAGCACGGUGAACAAAGAGAGGAAAAAAGCUUGAUCUGGAUAACGCAGUAGAUUGGGACAAGCAUCUGAAGAGCGAAUUGUCUCUGGAUCAAACCUUAAUCCAGUAAACCGGCCGGCUGAUCCUUUUUCCUCCCUACAAUUUGUAUUCUCAAGGGAAACUGCGAUUUGCAUUCAUAGAGUUCUCCACGCUUUCCUCGAGUCCAGCUCACAGUUCCAAAGAACUGUCCUUUUAUUUCUAUAAAGAAGGCGAUUAUCGAAGGUGCUACUUAUUUACGUCGUUGCAAAUAACACUUUGUAUUUUACUAUCGGAUAGUGAUAUGUAAUAUUUAUAAAUACUGUAGUAUCGUAAACUAUUAUAAUUAGUUUAUUAAUAAUAAAUGG